GCGGAUGUAGCUCAGUUGGUAGAGCGCUAGACUCAUAAUCUAGAGGUCGCCGGUUCAAGUCUCGGCCAUCCGCA
Molecule: transfer RNA, 74 nt
Filed under: Candidatus Woesearchaeota archaeon
Lineage: Archaea; Nanobdellati; Candidatus Woesearchaeota
Description: tRNA-Met
Rfam family: tRNA
About the family: Transfer RNA (tRNA) molecules are approximately 80 nucleotides in length.
Source: RNAcentral